RNAcentral lists this ribosomal RNA (343 nucleotides) under uncultured bacterium. Its description in RNAcentral is "bacterial SSU rRNA". It matches the Rfam family "Bacterial small subunit ribosomal RNA", at positions 547 to 896 of the family's 1533-position model. The record is from RNAcentral.
UCUGGGCGUAAGGGCGUUGUAGGACGGUCUUGGCGGCGCUCCCAUGAUGAAACACCACGGCUCAACCGGGGGGGAGCGUGGGAUACGCUCAGGCUAGACGGCGGGAGGGGGUGGUGGAAUUCCCGGAGUAGCGGUGAAAUGCGCAGAUACCGGGAGGAACGCCGAUGGCGAAGGCCGCCACCUGGCUCGUUCGUGACGCUGAGGCGCGAAAGCGUGGGGAGCAAACCGGAUUAGAUACCCGGGUAGUCCACGCCCUAAACGAUGCGCGCUAGGUCUCUGGGUUUUCUGGGGGCCGAAGCCAACGCGUUAAGCGCGCCGCCUGGGGAGUACGGCCGCAAGGCUG